Pecten maximus is the source of this 1750-nucleotide long non-coding RNA. RefSeq lists it as uncharacterized. The record is from RefSeq and is a predicted model, not a curated record. NCBI's taxonomy places the organism in Eukaryota, Metazoa, Mollusca, Bivalvia, Pectinida, Pectinidae. The transcript has 5 exons.
UGACGAUACCCAAAUUGGAACACUUUUUAUAGAAAAUCGUAUAAAAAAUAUUACCACGUGUUUGAAUGAAGCAUUUUUUCUAGAUAUUUCACAAAUAGGAACCUUGACCUUCCGUUUCAUGUUUUGGCCAUACGUCAGCAGCGCGUGUAUCUAUAAAUAGACCGCAGCGUGUUGAGUCAGUUUCAGCAAGGCGUUUCAACAGGUGCGAGUACCCAAAAUGGAACACUCCGACAUUUCGGUGUAUAUUUGCCGAAAAAACGAUGCGAGUUCAACAGAAGCAUGUUCCACAGUACCAUUUGACUCCUGUAGUGGCAUUGGAUUGCAUGCAUCUGUGGACCCGUGGUGGAAGGCAUGCCUGGUGAAAAGAUUUGCAACAAUCAAGAUUUUCACAUGUUGCCCAAUAUAGCAGUUGAUCUUGAUCACUGACAUCCAUAACAUGUUCCAUGCAAACUUGACAUAUCAUGCUCAUCACAGAGUCACUGGAAUGGUUCAGCAAUUGGGACCAAGAUGCUGGCAAGGUCAGAGGGAAUUAGACCUCCAGUGACGAGAGGAUGACCAUGCACAAAUUGACCACAGGCCUCGCAUAAUGGGUCGACCGGAUCUGCAUUUCCACAGUUGUCUCCUCCUGGACCGGGUACCUAUUUAUAGGGAUGAGUUUGCAUAUCCUAGACUGACUGAAAAUUCACAGACAGCCUUCUUGAUGGGACGAAAGAGGCCAACAUCAAGAGGUUGCAAAAUAUGCGUGGUGUGAGGGGGCAAACACAAUAGCUCUAUGUGGUUUUCCCUUGCCAGUUUUAUCGUCUCAAUUGACAGAUGGGACUCAUGGUUGUCCAUGGUGAGAAUUAGAGGACGAGCUUUAGGGGCAUACACAAGGAAGACAUUCUCAAACCAUCUUUGAAAUAGAUCUGUAUCUAUGUAUCCAUUUGGAGAAGUGGCAAAGAGCCAGUUUCCAGUACAUACCAUCCCUAUAUGCGCCACUCGGAAAACUCUUUUCAUAAAUCAAGAAAGUGGGCAACACCUGUCCACUGGCGGAUACACACACUGCAGCUGUUGAAUGUGUUGUCAAUGAUGUUUGUCUAGUAAAUGUGUUACCAUUUCCAGUACAAACUUUGUCCUGGGCAAUUAUCCCUUUACCAAAGCCAGUUUCGUCAAAGUUGAAAAUCUGCUCUGGUUUAUUCAGGAGUCCUGAAUGGAAAGAUUACACACCGUAUUUGAAAUAGAAAUGGUGACUGAUGGACUGAUUGACUAUCACCUAUGCAGAAAUUUAAAGAUUUUUAACUUCAUGACUUAGUUCCUUUUACAAUGACUUGUAUUAAUUUACUUUAAAAACAUUUGACUCACAACAUAAGAUAUAAACCUACAGCAUAUGAAAAUUGCCUUACAAUUUAUUAUUUACUGGACUUAAAAUUAGACCAUUCAAAUGUACAAACAUAACUAACCAUGUUUUUCCAUAGUGUUAUGGAGGAGAUCAAAAUAUUGCUUCAUGACAGUUUUAUUUGCCAUCCGAACCCUCCCACCAUCAAUUGUUUGGGGUUUCCUCAUCUUUAAAUCUGGGUGACGUUUCAGAAAGCCUCUGAACCAUUUAUUGCUUGGUCCAUUUUCCCCAAUGGUUGAUGUCCUUCCACUUUUUUUUACAAUGCCCCGUACAAAUGUCUUUAUCAUUUUGGUAGUCAACGGCAUGGAAUGUUCCUGUGAUGAUCAGUUUAUAAAUUGAUAUAAUCCUCAAACAAAAUAAAAUGUGUUAAUUGAU